This 1098-nucleotide long non-coding RNA is filed under the name Equus caballus (horse). Its description in RNAcentral is "lncRNA (ENSECAG00000056110.1)". Lineage: Eukaryota; Metazoa; Chordata; Mammalia; Perissodactyla; Equidae. The record is from RNAcentral.
UCUGGGACUCUUGGAGGCCCCGGGACCCCCACCUUGGGCAAUGCCUGAGCCCCAUGCCACCCUACACCCUCACCCAGUGCAAAGGCUGGGGGGUCCAGUGGGGGAUUAACUGCAACUGCUGUCUUUGGGGGUGUAUUCAGUCAGUCAACAUUUACUGAGCACCUCCUGGGUGCCAGGGACUCUGCUAGGUCUGGGAACACAGUGAUGAACAAAGCAGGCAAGAUCCUCUGUUCUCGGGACUGACAGUCUAAUCGAGAAGAGAGAAGAGAAAUCAGACAACUGAAAGAUCCCGGAUGUCAGAUGAUGGUAAGCGCUAUGGAAGAAAAUUGAAGGAGGUGGAUGGAGGGCGUGGUGGCAGCUGCAAUUCUAGAUGAGCAGCAUUAUUCACAAAAGCUGGAAAACAGAAACAACCCAAAUGUCCAUCAGUGGAUGAACAGAUAAACGGUGCCAAACACAUUCACGCAACGGAACAUUACUGAGCCGUCAAAAGGAAGCGCUGAUACACACGGCAUGGAUGAACCUUGAAAAACUAUGCUGCUUGAAAGUCAGACAUAAAAGGCCACGUGCCUGUGAUCCCAUUGACAUGAAAUGUCCACAACAGUUGCCCCUCAGUGGGAACAGGCACCAGGUCCACAAAAAACACCUGCACGACAUUCGUAGCAGCUUCCUCGUCACUGCCAGACGCGGGACAGCAGCAGCGUAGCUGGCCCGGCAAACGGAAGACAGGCUGGGGCAUCUUCUCGCCGUGGAGGAUGACGCCACGUGAGAAAGAGCCAGCACCGUGCGCGGAGAAUUAACCCUGUGACAUGAUGAACCCCCAAAACAUCACGCUGAGUGAAAGGGCCAGACACAGAAGGCCGCGGAGUGAGUGACUCAGUUGACGUGCAAGUCCAGGACAGGAACGUCCACAGAGACACCUGCAGGUGGGGAAGGGCCACUGGGAGCCAGGCGAACAGGCCUCCCCUUUGAAGGAGAGAAGCCACCGGUGGCUUUGGCACAGACGGGUGACUCGGUCGUGUCGUCCCCUCUCCCCACCGCGAGGCUGGCAAUGGGUCUGGCUUUCCUCAGGGGGUGGAAGGACCCGGAUCCCUAAACGAG